GAUGAACGCUGGCGGCGUGCCUAAUGCAUGCAAGUCGAGCGAACGGACGAGAAGCUUGCUUCUCUGAUGUUAGCGGCGGACGGGUGAGUAACACGUGGAUAACCUACCUAUAAGACUGGGAUAACUUCGGGAAACCGGAGCUAAUACCGGAUAAUAUUUUGAACUGCAUGGUUCAAAAGAGAAUGACGGUCUUGCUGUCACUUAUAGAUGGAUCCGCGCUGCAUUAGCUAGUUGGUAAGGUAACGGCUUACCAAGGCAACGAUGCAUAGCCGACCUGAGAGGGUGGUAGGCCGCACUGGAAGUGGACCAGGGUCCAGAGGCCUACGGUAGGGAGCAGUAGGGAAUGGUACGCAAUGGGCGAGAGCCUUGCGGAACGGCGCGGAGUGAGUGAUGAAGGUCUUCGGAUCGUAAAACUCUGUUAUUAGGGGAAAACAUAUGUGUAAGUAACUGUGCACAGCUUGACGGUACCUAGUCAAAAAGCCACGGCUAACUACGUG
This 497-nucleotide ribosomal RNA is filed under the name uncultured bacterium. RNAcentral's name for it is "partial 16S ribosomal RNA". It matches the Rfam family "Bacterial small subunit ribosomal RNA", at positions 28 to 507 of the family's 1533-position model. The record is from RNAcentral.